CAACUGGGCAGAGGCAUCCUCUUCCUGUCAUUAUUGAAUGAACCUGGCCCACAUCUGACCAGUCUCCAAAGAUUCACACUAAUAGCAAAGAAGUGGAGCAUUCGAGAUGGAAAUUAAAGAGACUAGACCCAAAGAAUCUAUGCAUGAGAUUCCAAGGCACUAUCAGAACGAUGUUUACAGUUCAGGACUACCACUUUUCUUGCAGCAGCUGGAACCAGUAAACUCCACUGUCACAAGUUACCAGGAGCAGAUCUUGGAUGCCUGCACACCAUCGGCCUGUGUGGCCAGUGUGACAUCAUGCACAUUGUAUGACAUCCUGCCUUCUGCACCUGAAAGUCCUUCUUAGAAGUCCAGAAGCCAGGAGACAAGGUCAGAGAUUGUCUGCAUCAUUUCCCCAGAGGCCAAGAAGAAUUAAGUCUCAGCGUCCAACAAGAGUCCCCUGAAAGUGUUUGGGCACUGUCUGGGCUGUGGCUAAGCCCCAUGAAUUGAGUAAUAAUUUCUGAGCAAAUGCUUAAAUGCCUCUUUGUAAUUCUCCAUUGCCUUCUACCAUGAGCAGAAAAGAGCUCCUUGAGCCCAUCUACUGGGCAAGUGGCAUUUGACUGUGGGAAUCUUCUCUUCCAGUUCAAUUAAUGUUUAUAUUUUUUGCUGGUUAUUACCUAGAUAUUAUCCAUGGAAUGUUUUCAUGACUGUGUAAGCACUGAAAUAUUAUCAAAAUUAAUGGUUGGGGGUGGUGAGAGUUCUGAAUAUCAAAAUAAAUAAGCAAUAUUAAUUUUGGAAAAAUAUAA
Pogoniulus pusillus (Red-fronted tinkerbird) is the source of this 785-nucleotide long non-coding RNA. RefSeq lists it as uncharacterized. NCBI's taxonomy places the organism in Eukaryota, Metazoa, Chordata, Aves, Piciformes, Lybiidae. The record is from RefSeq and is a predicted model, not a curated record. The transcript has 3 exons.